CCUGUUCGAGCGUCAUUAUAACCACUCAAGCCUCGGCUUGGUCUUGGGGUUCGCGGUCUCGCGGCUCUUAAAAUCAGUGGCGGUGCCGUUUGGCUCUAAGCGUAGUAAUUCUCUCGCUACAGGGUCCUGGCGGUUACUAGCCAAAACCCCCAAUUUUUACGGUUGACCUCGGAUCAGGUAGGGAUACCCGCUGAACUUAA
This 200-nucleotide unclassified non-coding RNA is filed under the name soil metagenome. Its description in RNAcentral is "partial contains internal transcribed spacer 2 and large subunit ribosomal RNA". The record is from RNAcentral.